AACGAACGCUGGCGGCAUGCCUAACACAUGCAAGUCGAACGAGACCUUCGGGUCUAGUGGCGCACGGGUGCGUAACGCGUGGGAACCUGCCCUUAGGUUCGGAAUAACUCCCCGAAAGGGGUGCUAAUACCGGAUCAUGUCUUCGGACCAAAGUUUUAUCGCCUUUGGAUGGGCCCGCGUUGGAUUAGCUAGUUGGUAGGGUAAAAGCCUACCAAGGCGACGAUCCAUAGCUGGUCUGAGAGGAUGAUCAGCCACACUGGGACUGAGACACGGCCCAGACUCCUACGGGAGGCAGCAGUGGGGAAUAUUGGACAGUGGGCGAAAGCCUGAUCCAGCAAUGCCGCGUGAGUGAUGAAGGCCUUAGGGUUGUAAAGCUCUUUUACCCGGGAUGAUAAUGACAGUACCGGGAGAAUAAGCUCCGGCUAACUCCGUG
RNAcentral lists this ribosomal RNA (433 nucleotides) under uncultured bacterium. RNAcentral's name for it is "partial 16S ribosomal RNA". It matches the Rfam family "Bacterial small subunit ribosomal RNA", at positions 29 to 507 of the family's 1533-position model. The record is from RNAcentral.